GGGGAAGUCCGGUCGAAGUCCGGCGCUGACCCGCAACGGUAGGCCGCGCGACGCGCGCGGCGAGCCCGAUCACCC
This 75-nucleotide non-coding RNA is filed under the name Saccharopolyspora erythraea. Lineage: Bacteria; Bacillati; Actinomycetota; Actinomycetes; Pseudonocardiales; Pseudonocardiaceae. The record is from RNAcentral.